AAAUUGAAGAGUUUGAUCAUGGCUCAGAUUGAACGCUGGCGGCAGGCCUAACACAUGCAAGUCGAGCGGUAGCACAGAGAGCUUGCUCUCGGGUGACGAGCGGCGGACGGGUGAGUAAUGUCUGGGAAACUGCCUGAUGGAGGGGGGAUAACUACUGGAAACGGUAGCUAAUACCGCAUAACGUCGCAAGACCAAAGUGGGGGACCUUCGGGCCUCAUGCCAUCAGAUGUGCCCAGAUGGGAUUAGCUAGUAGGUGGGGUAACGGCUCACCUAGGCGACGAUCCCUAGCUGGUCUGAGAGGAUGACCAGCCACACUGGAACUGAGACACGGUCCAGACUCCUACGGGAGGCAGCAGUGGGGAAUAUUGCACAAUGGGCGCAAGCCUGAUGCAGCCAUGCCGCGUGUGUGAAGAAGGCCUUCGGGUUGUAAAGCACUUUCAGCGGGGAGGAAGGCGAUAAGGUUAAUAACCUUGUCGAUUGACGUUACCCGCAGAAGAAGCACCGGCUAACUCCGUGCCAGCAGCCGCGGUAAUACGGAGGGUGCAAGCGUUAAUCGGAAUUACUGGGCGUAAAGCGCACGCAGGCGGUCUGUCAAGUCGGAUGUGAAAUCCCCGGGCUCAACCUGGGAACUGCAUUCGAAACUGGCAGGCUAGAGUCUUGUAGAGGGGGGUAGAAUUCCAGGUGUAGCGGUGAAAUGCGUAGAGAUCUGGAGGAAUACCGGUGGCGAAGGCGGCCCCCUGGACAAAGACUGACGCUCAGGUGCGAAAGCGUGGGGAGCAAACAGGAUUAGAUACCCUGGUAGUCCACGCCGUAAACGAUGUCGAUUUGGAGGUUGUGCCCUUGAGGCGUGGCUUCCGGAGCUAACGCGUUAAAUCGACCGCCUGGGGAGUACGGCCGCAAGGUUAAAACUCAAAUGAAUUGACGGGGGCCCGCACAAGCGGUGGAGCAUGUGGUUUAAUUCGAUGCAACGCGAAGAACCUUACCUGGUCUUGACAUCCACAGAACUUUCCAGAGAUGGAUUGGUGCCUUCGGGAACUGUGAGACAGGUGCUGCAUGGCUGUCGUCAGCUCGUGUUGUGAAAUGUUGGGUUAAGUCCCGCAACGAGCGCAACCCUUAUCCUUUGUUGCCAGCGGUCCGGCCGGGAACUCAAAGGAGACUGCCAGUGAUAAACUGGAGGAAGGUGGGGAUGACGUCAAGUCAUCAUGGCCCUUACGACCAGGGCUACACACGUGCUACAAUGGCAUAUACAAAGAGAAGCGACCUCGCGAGAGCAAGCGGACCUCAUAAAGUAUGUCGUAGUCCGGAUUGGAGUCUGCAACUCGACUCCAUGAAGUCGGAAUCGCUAGUAAUCGUAGAUCAGAAUGCUACGGUGAAUACGUUCCCGGGCCUUGUACACACCGCCCGUCACACCAUGGGAGUGGGUUGCAAAAGAAGUAGGUAGCUUAACCUUCGGGAGGGCGCUUACCACUUUGUGAUUCAUGACUGGGGUGAAGUCGUAACAAGGUAACCGUAGGGGAACCUGCGGUUGGAUCACCUCCUUACCUUAAAGAA
RNAcentral lists this ribosomal RNA (1551 nucleotides) under Klebsiella pneumoniae. RNAcentral's name for it is "bacterial SSU rRNA". It matches the Rfam family "Bacterial small subunit ribosomal RNA". The record is from RNAcentral. Lineage: Bacteria; Pseudomonadati; Pseudomonadota; Gammaproteobacteria; Enterobacterales; Enterobacteriaceae.